GACGAACGCUGGCGGCGUGCUUAACACAUGCAAGUCGAACGGAAAGGCCCUGCUUUUGUGGGGUGCUCGAGUGGCGAACGGGUGAGUAACACGUGAGUAACCUGCCCUUGACUUUGGGAUAACUUCAGGAAACUGGGGCUAAUACCGGAUAGGAGCUCCUGCUGCAUGGUGGGGGUUGGAAAGUUUCGGCGGUUGGGGAUGGACUCGCGGCUUAUCAGCUUGUUGGUGGAGUAGUGGCUUACCAAGGCUUUGACGGGUAGCCGGCCUGAGAGGGUGAACGGCCACAUUGGGACUGAGAUACGGCCCAGACUCCUACGGGAGGCAGCAGUGGGGAAUAUUGCACAAUGGGCGGAAGCCUGAUGCAGCAACGCCGCGUGCGGGAUGACGGCCUUCGAGUUGUAAACCGCUUUCGCCGGUGACGAAGAGUGAGUGACGGUAAUGGGUAAAGAAGCACCGGCUAACUACGUG
This 468-nucleotide ribosomal RNA is filed under the name uncultured bacterium. Its description in RNAcentral is "partial 16S ribosomal RNA". It matches the Rfam family "Bacterial small subunit ribosomal RNA", at positions 28 to 507 of the family's 1533-position model. The record is from RNAcentral.